AUGGUUAAGUUAGAAAGGGCGCACGGUGGAUGCCUUGGCACUAGGAGCCGAUGAAGGACGGGACGAACACCGAUAUGCUUCGGGGAGCUGUAAGCAAGCUUUGAUCCGGAGAUUUCCGAAUGGGGAAACCCACUGCUCGUAAUGGAGUAGUAUCCAUACUUGAAUACAUAGAGUAUGAGAAGGCAUACCCGGGGAACUGAAACAUCUAAGUACCCGGAGGAAGAGAAAGCAAAUGCGAUUCCCUGAGUAGCGGCGAGCGAAACGGGAACAGCCCAAACCAAGAGGCUUGCCUCUUGGGGUUGUAGGACACUCUAUACGGAGUUACAAAGGAA
Molecule: ribosomal RNA, 332 nt
Filed under: Bacillus safensis
Lineage: Bacteria; Bacillati; Bacillota; Bacilli; Caryophanales; Bacillaceae
Description: partial 23S ribosomal RNA
Rfam family: Bacterial large subunit ribosomal RNA
Source: RNAcentral